CUUGCUCUUUUGCUGACGAGUGGCGCACGGGUGCGUAACGCGUAUACAAUCUACCUUUUACAGGGGGAUAGCCUUUAGAAAUGAAGAUUAAUAUCCCAUAGUAUGUUGACUUGGCAUCAAGAUAACAUUAAAGCUUCGGCGGUAAAAGAUGAGUAUGCGUUCUAUUAGCUAGAUGGUGUGGUAACGGCACACCAUGGCAACGAUAGAUAGGGGCCCUGAGAGGGGGAUCCCCCACACUGGUACUGAGACACGGACCAGACUCCUACGGGAGGCAGCAGUGAGGAAUAUUGGACAAUGGGCGAGAGCCUGAUCCAGCCAUGCCGCGUGCAGGAAGACUGCCCUAUGGGUUGUAAACUGCUUUUAUACGGGAAGAACCCCAUCUACGUGUAGAUGGCUGACGGUACCGUAAGAAUAAGGAUCGGCUAACUCCGUGCCAGCAGCCGCGGUAAUACGGAGGAUCCAAGCGUUAUCCGGAAUCAUUGGGUUUAAAGGGUCCGUAGGUGGAUAAUUAAGUCAGAGGUGAAAGUUUGCGGCUCAACCGUAAAAUUGCCUUUGAUACUGGUUAUCUUGAAUUAUUGUGAAGUGGUUAGAAUAUGUAGUGUAGCGGUGAAAUGCAUAGAUAUUACAUAGAAUACCAAUUGCGAAGGCAG
This 650-nucleotide ribosomal RNA is filed under the name uncultured marine bacterium. Its description in RNAcentral is "bacterial SSU rRNA". It matches the Rfam family "Bacterial small subunit ribosomal RNA", at positions 75 to 724 of the family's 1533-position model. The record is from RNAcentral.